AAGCGUUUAUGACCAGACUUGGGCUUGGUUAAUCAUCUGGGGUUCUCCCCAGUGCACUUUUCCAGUCCAGGCCAGCAUCAGUUUUCCCCGGGGGAUAAAGGCGGCGGGAAUGUGGCUCUCUUCGGGGAGUGUUAUAGCCCACCGUGUAAUACCCUGGGGGGGACU
Molecule: ribosomal RNA, 165 nt
Filed under: Fusarium sp.
Lineage: Eukaryota; Fungi; Ascomycota; Sordariomycetes; Hypocreales; Nectriaceae
Description: partial large subunit ribosomal RNA
Source: RNAcentral